RNAcentral lists this ribosomal RNA (167 nucleotides) under uncultured bacterium. RNAcentral describes it as "partial 16S rRNA". It matches the Rfam family "Bacterial small subunit ribosomal RNA", at positions 352 to 511 of the family's 1533-position model. The record is from RNAcentral.
UAGGGAAGUCUUUCCCACAAUGGACGAAAGUCUGAUGGAGCAACGCCGCGUGAGUGAAGAAGGGUUUCGGCUCGUAAAACUCUGUUGUUAAAGAAGAACAUAUCUGAGAGUAACUGUUCAGGUAUUGACGGUAUUUAACCAGAAAGCCACGGCUAACUACGUGCCAG